This 503-nucleotide ribosomal RNA is filed under the name uncultured bacterium. Its description in RNAcentral is "partial 16S ribosomal RNA". It matches the Rfam family "Bacterial small subunit ribosomal RNA", at positions 28 to 523 of the family's 1533-position model. The record is from RNAcentral.
GAUGAACGCUAGCGACAGGCUUAACACAUGCAAGUCGAGGGGCAGCAUAAAAGUAGCAAUACUUUGGUGGCGACCGGCGCACGGGUGAGUAACGCGUAUGCAACCUACCUAUCAGAGGGGAAUAACCCGGCGAAAGUCGGACUAAUACCGCAUAAAACAGGGGCACCGCAUGGUGAGAUUUGUUAAAGAGAUUCGCUGAUAGAUGGGCAUGCGUUCCAUUAGGUAGUUGGUGAGGUAACGGCUCACCAAGCCGACGAUGGAUAGGGGAACUGAGAGGUUGGUCCCCCACACUGGUACUGAGACACGGACCAGACUCCUACGGGAGGCAGCAGUGAGGAAUAUUGGUCAAUGGGCGAGAGCCUGAACCAGCCAAGUCGCGUGAAGGAAGAAGGAUCUAUGGUUCGUAAACUUCUUUUGCAGGGGAAUAAAGUGCAGGACGUGUCCUGUUUUGUAUGUACCCUGAGAAUAAGGAUCGGCUAACUCCGUGCCAGCCGCCGCAGUAA